GAUGAACGCUGGCGGCGUGCCUAAUACAUGCAAGUCGAGCGAACAGAUAAGGAGCUUGCUCCUUUGACGUUAGCGGCGGACGGGUGAGUAACACGUGGAUAACCUACCUAUAAGACUGGGAUAACUUCGGGAAACCGGAGCUAAUACCGGAUAACAUAUUGAACCGCAUGGUUCAAUAGUGAAAGGCGGCUUUGCUGUCACUUAUAGAUGGAUCCGCGCCGUAUUAGCUAGUUGGUAAGGUAACGGCUUACCAAGGCAACGAUACGUAGCCGACCUGAGAGGGUGGUCGGCCACACUGGAACUGAGACACGGUCCAGACUCCUACGGGAGGCAGCAGUAGGGAAUCUUCCGCAAUGGGCGAAAGCCUGACGGAGCAACGCCGCGUGAGUGAUGAAGGUCUUCGGAUCGUAAAACUCUGUUAUCAGGGAAGAACAAAUGUGUAAGUAACUGUGCACAUCUUGACGGUACCUGAUCAGAAAGCCACGGCUAACUACGUG
Molecule: ribosomal RNA, 497 nt
Filed under: uncultured bacterium
Lineage: Bacteria
Description: partial 16S ribosomal RNA
Rfam family: Bacterial small subunit ribosomal RNA
Source: RNAcentral